GAUGAAGAACGCAGCGAAAUGCGAUAAGUAAUGUGAAUUGCAGAAUUCAGUGAAUCAUCGAAUCUUUGAACGCACAUUGCGCCCGCCAGUAUUCUGGCGGGCAUGCCUGUUCGAGCGUCAUUUCAACCAUCAAGCCCCAGGCUUGUGUUGGGGACCUGCGGCUGCCGCAGGCCCUGAAAACCAGUGGCGGGCUCGCUGUCACACCGGGCGUAGUAGAUUUUAUCUCGCUCAGGGCGUGCUGCGGGUUCCGGCCGUUAAAAAGCCUUUUUUACCCAAGGUUGACCUCAGAUCAGGUAGGAAUACCCGCUGAACUUAAGCAUAUCAAUAAGCGGAGGA
Molecule: unclassified non-coding RNA, 336 nt
Filed under: soil metagenome
Description: partial contains 5.8S ribosomal RNA, internal transcribed spacer 2, and large subunit ribosomal RNA
Rfam family: 5.8S ribosomal RNA (bases 1-120)
Source: RNAcentral